This 497-nucleotide ribosomal RNA is filed under the name uncultured bacterium. Its description in RNAcentral is "partial 16S ribosomal RNA". It matches the Rfam family "Bacterial small subunit ribosomal RNA", at positions 28 to 507 of the family's 1533-position model. The record is from RNAcentral.
GAUGAACGCUGGCGGCGUGCCUAAUACAUGCAAGUCGAGCGAACAGACGAGGAGCUUGCUCCUCUGACGUUAGCGGCGGACGGGUGAGUAACACGUGGAUAACCUACCUAUAAGACUGGGAUAACUUCGGGAAACCGGAGCUAAUACCGGAUAAUAUAUUGAACCGCAUGGUUCAAUAGUGAAAGACGGUUUUGCUGUCACUUAUAGACGGAUCCGCGCCGCAUUAGCUAGUUGGUAAGGUAACGGCUUACCAAGGCAACGAUGCGUAGCCGACCUGAGAGGGUGAUCGGCCACACUGGAACUGAGACACGGUCCAGACUCCUACGGGAGGCAGCAGUAGGGAAUCUUCCGCAAUGGGCGAAAGCUUGACGGAGCAACGCCGCGUGAGUGAUGAAGGUCUUCGGAUCGUAAAACUCUGUUAUUAGGGAAGAACAAAUGUGUAAGUAACUAUGCACGUCUAGACGGUACCUAAUCAGAAAGCCACGGCUAACUACGUG